AGACGAUGCUUAGGCAUCUCCUCAGCCCGAACGUACCCUGGGUAUCGACGGGCUGUUAUAUCCUCUUUAGCCAUAACUCACG
Molecule: non-coding RNA, 82 nt
Filed under: Legionella pneumophila subsp. pneumophila
Lineage: Bacteria; Pseudomonadati; Pseudomonadota; Gammaproteobacteria; Legionellales; Legionellaceae
Also listed under: 1 other name
Description: Legionella RNA 69
Rfam family: Legionella RNA 69
Source: RNAcentral